Molecule: transfer RNA, 74 nt
Filed under: Actinobacillus pleuropneumoniae
Lineage: Bacteria; Pseudomonadati; Pseudomonadota; Gammaproteobacteria; Pasteurellales; Pasteurellaceae
Description: tRNA-Gly(tcc)
Rfam family: tRNA
About the family: Transfer RNA (tRNA) molecules are approximately 80 nucleotides in length. Their secondary structure includes four short double-helical elements and three loops (D, anti-codon, and T loops).
Source: RNAcentral
GCGGGCAUCGUAUAAUGGCUAUUACCUAGCCUUCCAAGCUAAUGAUGCGGGUUCGAUUCCCGCUGCCCGCUCCA